AUCCGCGGCUUGUGGUGGCUGUGGUUUUGUGCCCAGGACUCACACGUAAAAGGAGCUCAUUCGGAGGCAGGGGCACGCGCUUGUCCCCAGAACUCAAACCCCAGAGUCCCUCCGGCAGAUGAGAGUGGAGGUUGUAAAUCACCCUCCAUGCAAUGGUUCAUCAUAAAGGAUAUGGAGCAAAAUUAGAGGAGGCACGAGAAGGAAAGCCGGUGAUGAACAAGGAAAGUGCCUGGUUGAAGCUAGCUUGCAAUCCCAAAGUCAGAAGGUUGCCUGGGAAGCCAUGAAACAAAGCCAAAUCAAGGCAAAGCAGACACAUGGAGAUUUUGAGACUGAGAAGAGGAAAACUGAGGACAUUCAUGUGAGAUGGUUUCAAGUUUCCCUUAGAAGGAGAAGUUAUCUUCAGAAGGUCAGGUUGGUGAGGUGGGAGUUCAAAAACAACAAAGUAUGUAGCUACCAUUGUGAGGAAGACCAUGGAAAAUGGACGAAUCAGAAUGAAAGGCUUUCUGAACAAGAGGGAGUUUCCCUGCACAAGCUCCCUCCUGCCUGCUGCCAUGUGAGACCUGCGUUUUGCCUUCCACCAUGACUGUGAGGCCUCUUCCCCGGCCAUGUGGAACUCCCAGAGACAGAAGCAGAUAAUGCAAGUGUCAUCUACAUCUGGCAAAAGCCAAAGGUUUGGAAGAUGGAAAAAGGAAUCCAGGCAAAAAGGAGCCCAAGAUUGAAGUGAAUGACCAGGUGCACCAGUUCAAAUGCAAUCAGGAGGGACAGGGGUAGAGGGAGAAGCCUAGAGCAGCGCUUCUCAAACUGACUAUUCAAGUCACCUGGAGAUCUUGGUGAAAUGCAGACUCUGGUGCAGUAGGUCCUGGCGGGAACUUGAAAUUCUGCAUUUUGACCAAGGUCCAAGGUGAAUGUCCAGUGCUGUUGUCCUUGGCCUGCAGCAGGAGGAGCAGGGAUCUAAGACUUGGAGAGCAAAUGUCAAGCUCAGAAGAAAGACUGGAAGUUUGGGGACAAAACCCAAAUAUGGCUAAAGAAAGCCUGUAGGAUGAAGUUGGAAGUUCCAGAGCCUUCUCUUCACAUAAUGGGACAUGCAAGGGGGAAACCAAAUCAAAAGUGUAGAAUGCGUCGCUGGAUGUCUUUGACAUGUUAUUGUUCUGAUAGAAUAUCAGCGGGGAGCUACUGAGGACCUCCUCACUACCCUCCCUUGGAAGAGUUUGUCUGCAAUGGAGCCAACACAGUGGAAAGCAGAGCUGAGAAAUGGACAAACAACUCCUGAUGCCUCAUUUGAGCACCUGGAUUUAGCCAUGUCUGAAGCUAUUAUAUCCUUGAACUUUUGAAUCAUGCACUGUUUUAAGUCCCAAAGAAAGAGGCAGAGGAGCGACAGAGAUGACUUCCUCCCUUGAAAACGAAGCAUGUGGCCUGACAACCUAAAAUUGGGGUCAAUCCAUCCAAUUAUGGUGACUGCUUAGAAAUAUCCCUUUUCCUCCCAACGUUUUCCUUUCCUUCUCCCAUAAACAUAAUAAUGUCUCCUGCCAGUACUAAGGCAUGGCCCAUGGACCCACUAACACCUAUGCUCACGUUAGCUCUUGAGGCCGAGUGGCUUGGUUCUAUCUGGUUAUCAGAUGCAAACUUCAUCACAGCAGGGAUUUGGGCUAGACAUUAGAGGAAUAGUGUGGUACCAGAUGGUGUUUCUGAAGAAGGUUGUCCUAUUUUUGCAGUUUAAGGAUUUGAUAAUAAAUCUGCCUGGCAGCCCUCAGAUGU
This 1755-nucleotide long non-coding RNA is filed under the name Homo sapiens (human). RNAcentral's name for it is "long intergenic non-protein coding RNA 877". The record is from RNAcentral. Lineage: Eukaryota; Metazoa; Chordata; Mammalia; Primates; Hominidae.